RNAcentral lists this ribosomal RNA (292 nucleotides) under uncultured bacterium. RNAcentral's name for it is "partial 16S ribosomal RNA". It matches the Rfam family "Bacterial small subunit ribosomal RNA", at positions 505 to 796 of the family's 1533-position model. The record is from RNAcentral.
GUGUCAGCAGCCGCGGUAAUACGAAGGUGGCGAGCGUUGUUCGGAUUCACUGGGCAUAAAGGGCGCGUAGGCGGUCCCGCAAGCAGUGCGUGAAAUCCCACGGCUCAACCGUGGAAUUGCGCUCUGGACUGCGGUUCUAGAGUGCGGGAGGGGGGUGCGGAACUCUAGGUGUAGCGGUGAAAUGCGUAGAUAUCUAGAGGAACACCGGUGGCGAAAGCGACACCCUGGCCCGCAACUGACGCUGAGGCGCGAAAGCGUGGGUAGCAAACAGGAUUAGAAACCCCCGUAGUCC